This 253-nucleotide unclassified non-coding RNA is filed under the name uncultured Kofleriaceae bacterium. Its description in RNAcentral is "contains 16S-23S intergenic spacer region". It matches the Rfam family "Bacterial small subunit ribosomal RNA", at positions 524 to 776 of the family's 1533-position model. Lineage: Bacteria; Pseudomonadati; Myxococcota; Haliangiales; Kofleriaceae. The record is from RNAcentral.
UACGGAGGGUGCAAACGUUGCUCGGAAUCAUUGGGCGUAAAGCGCACGUAGGCGGUUUCGUAAGUCGGAUGUGAAAGCCCUAGGCUUAACCAAGGAAGUGCAUUCGAAACUGCGUGACUUGAGUACGGGAGAGGGUUGUGGAAUUCCCGGUGUAGAGGUGAAAUUCGUAGAUAUCGGGAGGAACACCAGAGGCGAAGGCGACAACCUGGACCGAUACUGACGCUGAGGUGCGAAAGCGUGGGGAGCAAACAGG